This 1397-nucleotide long non-coding RNA is filed under the name Nicotiana benthamiana. RNAcentral describes it as "long non-coding RNA (NBEN_LNC042084)". The record is from RNAcentral. Lineage: Eukaryota; Viridiplantae; Streptophyta; Magnoliopsida; Solanales; Solanaceae.
UUACACAAGAAAAGGCCCAAAUCGGCAGCCCAUCUCCCUAACGCCUCUCUCCCUCACCUUUUCACACCUUCUGCCACCAUAACCCAACCUAAACCUCACCAUAACCGAACCUUCAUGGUGCCCGCCCCCCUGUCUUUCCUUUUUCCACGUCAUCAAGACCAUAACAACCUCUUUCAGAACAAGAUAUUUCAUUUCUCGCCUUCCCACGCGCUCUUGCUUCCCUUGGAUGGAAUUCGGAUUAAUGGUAGACGUAGGAUUUGAAGACUUUAAAUCCUAGUCUUCCAUUUGUCUGAGAACUUUCCAGAAGAAGAAGAAGAGGGGAUUUCCGUUUGGGGGCAAACAAUCUUUCGGAUUUAAGAGGGCCACACAGUUUUGGGAUUUCUUGGAGAAGAGGAGAGGAAGUUUCUAGGGCUUCAUAUAUAUUUGUGUUUUGGACAGAAUUUUGGGAUGGGGUUUUCACGAAAAAUUAGGAAAACAUCGAAAACUAGGUUUUAGGUUUUGCUUUGGAGUCCUCCUCUUCUUCAAAAUUUUUCGGUUAGUUCAUAGUUUAAAAGAAAGGAAGCUUUGUUUCGUUUUGAUAAUCAAAAAAUAUAACAAAGGAGUGCUAUUCUGUUUUCUUAUUAGUAUUUUUUCAAAAAUAUAUCGAGGUCUCUUCUAGUAAUUUGGAUUUCAAAAAUGGAGUUAGAUUGAGCGGAGUUGGAUUCGAGUCUGUCGUCAUUGCUGUUCGUCGUAGAUUUCGGUCGAGGCUUCCUGUUUCUCUUUGGCGAUUCUAGCUGAAAUUCCCUAUUGAAGAUUCAGUAGAUUUGGCCUGAAUUAUUUGCUGUAACUGUCAAGCUUCUAUCAAUUGAAAGCUUUAUUUCUAGAGUCAUUUGCUUCUCCGAUUAUGUUUUGGUGUUGUUGGAAAUAUGACAAGAGCUGUAGAUGUUGGGCUUGGAAUCUAUGAGUAAUUUGAUAGUUCCUAAGUUCUUAACAUUGAGAGUUUAGACAAUCAUACUUGAAUGCUCGUUUCGGAUUCAGUUUGCUGGAAAGAGGUAUUCAAUAUUCUGGUUGGUUGUUUGAUAUUCUGUUUUGGGAUUAAAUUUGCUGUUGGUUUAGCUUGAUCCUUCUGAGUUUCCAAACUUUGUUUUUUUAUGUGACUCAUGAAUCAGCGAGGCAUCAUCUCAAUAGGUUAAUAGGUCGUUCUUUUUUCGUCCAUUUCAUGUUAAAGAAUUUCUUUCGAUUGCAUCUUUAAGUUUUCAUCGGGUUAGUGUCGCACAUCAUGUUAGGGGCUAAUUUCCUAGAUCUUGUUGUUCAUAUUUUGUGGCUUUGUUUUUCUCGAAGUAUUAGUUCAGUAAUCAUAUCUAGAGUUCUAAUCAUGGAAUUGACAAUCGUAACAUUUUAAAUACCAUUAGAAUACU